Long non-coding RNA from Sebastes umbrosus (honeycomb rockfish), 106 nucleotides. RefSeq lists it as uncharacterized. NCBI's taxonomy places the organism in Eukaryota, Metazoa, Chordata, Actinopteri, Perciformes, Sebastidae. The transcript has 3 exons. The record is from RefSeq and is a predicted model, not a curated record.
UGCCCCUUUUCCACCUGAUUCAACUGUUAUCAGGCCAUUAAAUACAGUAUGCGUCAUCAGUCGCUAUCAGCACCAUAGAUGUGGGUCAUGUGUUGAAAGUGAAAGU